CUGGCUCAGGAUGAACGCUGGCGGCGUGCCUAAUACAUGCAAGUCGAACGCUAACCUCGGGUUAGAGUGGCGAACGGGUGAGUAACACGUAGGUAACCUGCCCAUAAGACGAGGAUAACUACUGGAAACGGUAGCUAAUACUGGAUAGUAUAUAGAAUCGCAUGAUUUUAUAUUUAAAGGUGCUUCAAAGCAUCACUUAUGGAUGGACCUGCGGGCGCAUUAGCUAGUUGGUGAGGUAACGGCCCACCAAGGCGACGAUGCGUAGCCGGACUGAGAGGUUGAACGGCCACAUUGGGACUGAGACACGGCCCAGACUCCUACGGGAGGCAGCAGUAGGGAAUUUUCGGCAAUGGACGCAAGUCUGACCGAGCAACGCCGCGUGAAGUGAUGAAGUUCUUCGGAACGUAAAAUUCUUUUAUUUGGAAAAAACGUAUAUUGUAGGAAAUGACAGUAUAGUGAUGGUACCAAAUGAAUAAGCCCCGGCUAACUAUGUGCCAGCCGCAGC
RNAcentral lists this ribosomal RNA (505 nucleotides) under uncultured bacterium. Its description in RNAcentral is "bacterial SSU rRNA". It matches the Rfam family "Bacterial small subunit ribosomal RNA", at positions 19 to 518 of the family's 1533-position model. The record is from RNAcentral.